Xyrichtys novacula (pearly razorfish) is the source of this 15825-nucleotide non-coding RNA. The record is from the annotation of a GenBank genome assembly. NCBI's taxonomy places the organism in Eukaryota, Metazoa, Chordata, Actinopteri, Labriformes, Labridae.
CAACCCAAAGUCUUUUUAUUUUCCCCUGUUUCUCUACACUCAUGUCUUUAAUCCUUGUGCUUUGUGUGGACAUGUUCUUUACUUUAAUCCAGGAGUUUUCACUGUAUUUAAUGACCUUCAGAUUUUCUUGGAUAUUUGGAUCUUUCCUGCUUCAUGUGGACUCUGUUUCGGUAAGUCAUCUUUGUCUUUUUGUUAAUCAAAAUCAUCCCAUUAUAGGCCACUACUUCUGACUCUUCUCUCUCUCAGUAGCCAUGUUUACAUGAGCAAAAUUUCUUGAACCGGUCACAAAUUUGAGGGAUCGGAAAAUCUGAAUCCACUAUAUGGGCGCAAAAUCGAAUAAUCCGCUCAUGAUGUGCAUAUACAUGCACCAAUCUUUAUUCAGAUUAGAAGCAUUUGGACAGGCGCAGAGUUGUCAGAUUUUGCAGAAGAGUUGUGUUUAUGUCUGUGCUGUCAACAAACCAACUAAGAUUAUGUAAAAUGAAAGUAAAAGUAGAUUUAGCACCUUAAAGUCAACCAAAAAAUCAAAAUGGAAGUCCAUAAGAGGUUAUUGAGCUAUAGCAAUAAUCUUUUUUUUAAUCACAACAAUAUGAUAAAUAAUCAUGUUUUCACUGAUACAUCAAAAUGGAACUACCGUUAAAAGUCUCAGAUCAAACAUCUAAUUUUGCCGCUGGAUUGGAAACCUUGUGGCAGGUUUAGAAAUGACUGGAAACCCUUGAUUGAUCGCCAAAAGGGUAAGCUUUUGAACCCAUUUGACUCCAUGGAGAAACGCAGUAUAGUUCCUGAGAAAUUGUAAACAAUACUAAUGGUGUCAUGUGGGGGCGCCGGCGAUCCAACAAAGUUCUAAGGUUUAAAUCUUCACCACUGAAUCAACCCAGAAUGAACCACACACAAAAUAUUUUAUAAUAUUGACCAGCUUCUAUCCAAUUCAGCCUAAUUAUGAGUUAUAAUCCACACUGCAUCAUUUAAAUUCAAAGUAGAUAUAAGACCAUUUUUUUAAUCCCUAUUCAGCCAAGAAAGGAAAUAAAAGAACAACCAAAAAUUCAACCUCACAUCACAACUUUUCUAUCCUACUUUCAGUAUGACGCCAUCUGUUGGCCAACAGCCAGCUGACGGUUUGCAUCCCACUUUUUUUUUACACGAUCUCAGGGGUGUGUCACAUUUAUAACACCUGCAAUUUCCCUCCGUGACAGCAUGAGUCACUUUUACUGUCAGGAAGAAGCACCGGGUGUGAAUGUAAAACUCUUGUUUCGGGGGGAAUAUUCACUCCUAACACCUUGAUGUAAAAUGUUACAUCCACGCAGCGUUCAAUUAAUGAACUUCAAGAAAGCACAUUAAGUGGCUGACAUUCACGACAAAAAGGAUUAACUGUAAUGUGAUGGCUGCAUCCUGGCACACAGACAAAGGUGUUAUGGGUGCAUAUUAUACAGUUAUUAAUUCUAUUUUCAGCACUUUUCCAGACCCUGAGAUUGCUUUUUACAAUACACUCCCCGUCCCUGCUCUGCAUAGAGUAAUUUGGAGAUAAAUUGCAAUCAUUUUGGCAAAAUGUCAGCCUUGUAAAAGGAGUAUUUUCCCUCCUGAUAACAAUUGGGGCUCUUUUGUUUUGCAUUGUCCUGUUCUUGAAAAUGUGUUGUAAUAUUUGCACACUGACUUUUUGCCUUUUGUGUCGCUGUUAUCAUCAAAUUUAGUGUCUCCAGUAACAAUCAAGGUACAGGCUACAAUAACAGGACACCACUCAAGGCUUUCUUUCUCGCCUAAUUGCUUACCUACCAUUUAAUUUUGUAAUUAACAUACAUGAAUCUUAAGCUCAUCUUAAUUGAAUUGCCUUGAUUUUAAUUAAGAGCUAUUUUAAAACUGUAAUGGGAAGCACGCGAUUCACUCUUUGUCUGAUAAAUGCGAGGGGCAGGGCAAAUGAACAUGCCUCUCCUUUAAUGAAAACCACAAGAGCCCUUGUUAAUAACGUCUGAAGUGGGCUACAAACAGAAGAAGACGCUCGUUGAACACACUGUGUUUCUAUGAUGUAUUACAGUGCAGGUAAUGUUUGACACACCAUGGGUUAAAAGAAGCAUGAUAAAAAGCAAUAAACAUGUCUCUGUCCUCCCAGGAUUCGCCUUGAUCCCCUUCUCUCAUAUCAUUUUGCCUCACUUGACAUCCCCUCUCGGGUGAUUGAUAGAAAUUAUACACUCAUAGCAGACAGACGACAAUUCCACUGCAUAUUUCUGGAAAAGGUAAUAACAGGAAAGGUGCUUUUGUCACACCGAUUUAAAUCAGAGUAACGGACCAUUAGUGUUCUCGAACAAACCUGUGCUCUGGGAGGUGAAGACAACAUCAGAGGUCGACGGUUUCCCUUCAAAGAAUAGUCCAAGUACAUAUGAAAUUACAAUUUAAUGAGCCACAUAUCUCUCAGUGAUACCCACGCUGUGCAGGCUAUAUUAGAUGCACUGUAAUGCAUUGGCGCUGUGCUGCCCCGCUGUAGAGGCUCUGGCAAUGUGCAGGCGUGGAACACACUGUGUAAUAUCAUCUCAAUGUCAUCCUAGAGAUUAUCAUGAAAUGGCUUUAGAGUUUCUGAUGAAACCGAAAGCGUGGACUAAUAAUAGCAUGAAGAAAAUAAUGCUUAAUCAACUCAGCCGAUGAAAAUGAAUGAUCAAGGGAACGGGCUUUGAGUGCUGGCAUUAGAGAGGGGGGAAAAAUCCACCCUCGGAUACUCUCACAGUGUUUGAUAUGAGCAGUUUGUGUAGUCCGGCGUAUUAUUCAAAUGAUGAACUGUUGAUAAAACGUUGGAAAUGACUAUUCUUAGUGAUCCCGCUUUCCCUUCAGCUCCUGCUUCAGCUGGUAAUUUAUGUUUCUUGUAGAACUUGAAACAACCUCUGGAGUGAACUUGUUACAUUCAAUCAAAUGUGUUUGCAUUUCCUCGGAGUGGAAAUAUAGCUAGAGAGCCUGUAUGUGAUUGCAACCACACCCCCACUCAAAACACAGGGUCUUGCGGUCUACUGAAGCUACUGUUUAUAAUGAAAUUGGUGUCUCAGCCUCCUAUAGAAUGAAUUUCUCUCUGUGUAAGAGGCAUGAUUGUUGAAAUAGUCCCUUUGACAUCAGAAGCGUAUGUUUUGAUUCAUGUUCAACGACCAAACCGAUCUUUUCGGUCAUUAAAAAUCCAAUUUAUGAAUAAUAUCACUUCACAUUUUCAGCCUUUCACUAAAAUGAAAUGUGAAAGUGUAAUUGCAAACAGCUGGGUUUGAGCGGUGUCAGACUGAGUUCUGUGAGGUUUCUCUGGUUUUUCAAGCUGGGCGUCCUCUGCUCAGAGGUGCCCUUGUAGUGCGAACCACAGCGAGACAGUGGGAGCAUUCGUGGUCUGCUGAUCUUCACAUGCCCUGCUGCUCCCUGCUGCAGGGACGGUUUUGCUCAGGCAUGAUGAUGAUGAUGAUGAUGUCUUUGCCAUGGUUGGAUAAAGAACAAAUCUAUUAUUUUUCCCAUGAGACCAAUACCAAUAAAACCCGAAUAAUGUUUAUUUUAAAAGACUGGGAGAAGGAAAAUAGCUUGGGCGAAUAAUGAAAGAUACCUCGGAGGUUUUGGAUGACUAAUGAUGCAUCAUGUCUUAUUUUUAACUAAUUUUAUCGCAGAGGAUUUAUCUCAAACAAAUUCCCUAUUUUUUAAAGUGUUUUUUAAAGAUGUUGAAUAGCUUUGACUUUGACUCCAACAGCUGAGAGUUAAAACAGUAGAUAUGAAAUCAAACAUCCCCAAAUUAAACUGCAAGUAACAAUCUCAGCUAAAUUUAAAAUACGAGGAGUUGGGAGGUGUUAUCGGACAGCUCUUAUACUUUUGUCUUAAAGUCCCUCUUGUUUUUUCUUAACCACUUAAAGUGUUCUCAGUGGUCUUUAAAGGUUUUAGCCAAAAUUUUAUCACUUGUGUAAUUUUCUAGGUCUUUUCUUCUGUAGAUCUCCAGUAGUUCAUAAGCAAUUCGCCUCUGAGUCGUGAACGGAGACGGCGCUGCUCUGCACACUCCUCUUCACGCUAGCUUACAAUCGCAUUGGGCUUGGUGUGUAUAGUCACGCACGUCAAAAUUCAUCUCUGAAUAUUUCGUAAUUUCGUGUCGUAUAUUUGCGUCAGUCCCUGUGUGUAAGGAGUUUAACAUUGCUAAUGUAAUAGAAGUAGCAGGUAGCAUAGAAGCUAUUCAGCUCUCAGACACGAAUGUCUUUGGGGACAUGAUGAAAGUGAAUAUCAUAAUUAGCUUUUUUCACGAGCAUUGCAUUUCUCUCUAUUCGUCCUAUUUUCUUCUCUAAGGGGCGGAGCUUGGAUUUGUGACAUUGGAAAUCUCACUCCAUCUGAACCUGCUGUUUAAGUGUGCCAGAGAUUAACAGUGAUUUAAAAUUAGAAAUACACAGAAAUGCAAUUUCACACUUAUUUUUCUCAUGAUAUGUCCUGUAGCAUCAGAAAAAUGCCACAUGAACAUGUAAACAUGAUUUUCAUCGGAGUGGGUCUUGAAACAGCAAGAACCCUUUAAUAUUUCCAAGGCGAACCUUCCUGCCCUCAGUUGAACUGUAACAUGACAUUUUCAUUUCGCGCAUUUGCCCUGCUUGUACAUUAAUUACACACACAGCACACAAAGUACUUGUUUUACUUCAGCUUAGCCAAAAUGUGUGUAAUCCGACAAGAAUCAUGUUCAUGCUGUGUGUCCCAAUUAGCAAAAUCGUAGGGAGCAGCCUGGUGCAAUGUAACCGUGUCACCGAGCUUUACUGUGGCUAAGAAAUUAAAACGUGCCCUUUUCCUGAAGCCUGACUCACAUCAGAUACGAUCUCGCUCUCCAUUUGUCCUUCAGAAAACAAAACUCGUCUUUAAUUCAACAUAUUGUUCUCAUAUGGCCGUGAUGGAAAAGGGAUAACAGCAACCAAAACUUGGCUCAGUGUGAAUGAUGUUUGCACAGUCUGGGUGAGAGAGGGUGUGCAUGUGUGUGUCCAUCUGUCAUAACUUGUUCAUCGCAGUUCUUUUGCUUAUUGAUUUUCUCAACAUAUCUCUUUGAGUUUCAUGUUCUGUCUCUUUCCGACUCCCUCGCCACUGAUCGAACCGAUGUCCCCGCUGACCUCUCCUCGGCUGCUCUUUUUAGACACCGGCAGGCAGCUGCUCCUUUUGUUUGUUUGGUGUUUGUCGAAGCAAAGUGAUCUCAGCUCUGUAACAUGAAGAGAUGCCACUUAUCUGCAAGAGUUUAUUGUCUGAAAAUCUUCAGUUUUUAAAAUCAUCCUUAUUUUUAAACCCACUUUCAAUCAGGUGACAAUCAAAGUUAAUGUUUUACUUGUUUUUAUUAAUAUACUAGAUGGCUAAUAUUAAAAAAAAAUCUGCAUCUUAGGCAGACACUCGGUUACAUAACUGAUUUAUUGUCUAGCUCUUAGAUUUUCCGCUCUAACUAAAUGAUUCACGCGUAUGUUGUCCCGAUGCUCCUUAAACAAUGUGAUGAGUCAAAUUAAGACUCAAUUAUCUGAAUUAUCAAUGUAGAAAAUGUGACAAUCUUAUGUAAGCUUUAAACACCCUUCUCAGAGCUUGGCAUUUCUGUCACGAUCACACACUUUGUAAUUAAAUGGUUUUGUCUACUCAUGGAUCAUUGCUUUCAGCCGAUUAACGAAUGAUAGGAAAGACUAUAUAAAUCAAAGACUACCAACCCAACUAAUUAGCUAUCCUAACCAUUACAUCCACUAACAACCGCUGGAGGUGGUUUCUCUUACAUAAUCAACUUCAUUAUUACAUUUUUUCUUUUUUCUUUGCGAUGGAUCGUAUCUGAAAGCGGGCUAGCAUAGCACGGCUGAGGAAAAACUGUAUCUUUGUAUCGUCUGAAACGCCACAUUAGAAUAAGAGACACAGAUCCAGGAAGCUUAUCAGUGCUGCUCCAGGUGAAAACAAACAUACGGGGAUGUUUUUCUCUCUUUUUUUUUGGCUCUUGUUCUCAAGGGCAAACACGGGGCUGGUUCAUUUCAAUUACAGAGUCGGGUGAAACACUCGGCUGGCUCUAUUCUAAUUUGUCUUUAUAUCAAUUAAUAAACCUUGACAGCAACAUUACAUCAAGGUACAAACUCUAAGUAUGAAGGACAUGCCUUAACUUAACGGUUAAAUUCUGCUUUUACCUUAUGUGAAUACAAAACAACCCCCUCACUCCUCCAUUGUGGUCACCUCUCAGGACACAAAGCUCCAGAGAUAAUCCACCGACUGCAAAGAAUCCGGAGCGUUUGUCUGCAGUGAGUAAAGAUUUUGCCCUCAAAAGGCUCACCUUCAGACUGCCACUAUUCUGCUCUUCUUAUAUGGGUCUGAUGCUAAUCAGUGUGGAUUGUAUUUUAUGCCUCGAGGCAGGAAAAUGUGCUGAUGAGAGGCCCACAAUAAAUGAACCUUAUCACCUAAUGGCAUCUCUGCCCACCCUUUGACUUACUGAGAAGCCUUUGCAAAAUGUCAUGGUCAGGCGGAGCACACAUGAGAUAAUUAGAGAGAAAUGACUGAUCCACAGAUCCACUGGCCACUCAUCAUCAUAAAUGCUGGAAGCAAAAUCAGGGAUUUCUAGGGAAACUUGGAACAGAUUUGAAAUAUGAUUAAUACAUCUGGUGAUGCUUUUGUAUGGAUUAAAUGUUUCAGCUCUGGUCUCAAUCGAGAGGACACCUGAAUGCAGUAGCACUGCAUUGAUGCAAUCUUAGCAGAUGUGAAAGUACUAACAACUGCAUUUCCCUGAGUGUCCACUUGAGGCUCUGACAGCACUUAUUCAAAAAGGCUCAUCAUUAGCUGCGUUUACAUGAACACAAAUAAUCGGAAUAAAGGCCCGAUCGGAAUAAAAAUUUGUCAUUUAAACAUAUUGAUUGUCAGUAUUUAAUCCAGUUCAGCUCAAUCAGAAAAAAAUUGUAUUCCGAUCGAGAAGGUUGGUUUAUGCCGAUCGUUAUUCCGAAACGCGUCCAUGUAAGCACUUAUUCUGAUGGUGACUCUCUAACCUGACUCGAUCUUCACUCUUUAGACUUUGGCUUAUUCAUUGAGGUCAGUACAGAAGGUUUCAUUAUUAACACAAUCACAGUUGACGCCUGCUCCUCCGAUAACAUAACAAGGCAUACAUAACGCGUAAUGAUGUCACAUCUGCAACAGUAAAAUAAGUACGCAAGGGCGCCAUCUAGUGACAACAUUUAACGGGGGAAAAAUCCUGGAAUACAAAAAGUUGUAAAUACAGCUCUUCUUCUUCUGUGGUUGUUUUAGCGAAAUCAGACAACUCAGGGCAUGUCCAGAUGCUUCUAAUCUGAAUGAAGUUUGGUGCAUGUAUACGCACGUCAUAAUCGGAUUAUUUGAUUUUGCGCCCGUAUAAACAAUGGAUUCAGAUUUUCUGAUCCCUCAAACUUUUAUUUGGAUCAAGAAAUUUUGCAGAUGUAAACAAAGCAAUUGUUAGCAUGUUUGUUGUCUAUUUCAACAAUGAUUUUAAACUGAUUAGCUUGUUCAUUUAUCGGCACACAGUGUACAAGGAGAUACAUUUGGUUGUAAUUCAUAAGAUUUAAAGAAAUUUAAAUGACAAGUUUAGCAGUAUAAGAGGACAGCUGUCUUGACUGACAGGUCUAAAAAGACGUUAAAUAGACGUCUGCUUGUCCUUAGAUGUCUGGGCCAAAAUCGGUCUACCUCUGGUCAAAAAAUGAACCUUUUUUUUUAGCUGUCUUUGAUUAGACUAGCCAUCUAAUAGACAAAACUACACUGUACAUUGAUCAAUGACUGUUAAAAAUGUUUUAAUCCAACAUUUGGCCAUCCCUUAUACAACUUGUAGUUGUUUUUUAUCCAAUAUUAAUAAUUAAUAGAUUAAAUUCUAUCAUCUAGAUUUGGGCUAGAAUAUAGACUGUUUAUAGACGGGCAAAUUUCUGUCUUAACUAAGACGACGUCUGAGGCUCAGUGGGCUCUUUGUCUCUUGAGUCCACAUUUUCAAUACUGUCCAUACUGUCAGAAACCAGUGGAUGACAUUUGUGGCCAAGUUAGUGUUUUUUGUACAGUCUACAUAUGCAAAAAUAAAACUUGUUAGCCAAAAAUAUCUUAAACUUUAUAAUACUCAAAUUUAUUUCAACCUUUUUCUCACAGUGUUAACCAGUCAGAGUUUUCACAUUUUGCAAUAAAAUAGCUCCAAGAAGAAAGUGUCGAGAUUUACGGCAGGCAUGUUUUCAUCAUUGUUUAGCUACGCUGGACACUCCGUCUUAAUGAAAUUGUAUUACAUGUAAAAACUUUCUCCCCAGAAUCACACAUUAUGAAGGUGACAAGUGGCUAAUUCAGUAAACUGGAGAUCGAGGUUUUAACAGUAAUUGGCCACAAAUUAACCCUCCAGGCGAUGCACAAAUCUUGACAUGCAAAAUAAAGCAUCUCCUGGCCCCAUAUGCAGGCUGUAAUAGAGUUCAUUUGUACCUUGUGCAGCCGAGAUUAUCUCUCCACCAAAGUGAGUGUAUGUGUUUUUAGGAUGGAAACGCCCCGUAGAGCAGGGCUAAGUAGGCAAUCACUCAUUCUGAGUAACGGCAGAGGUGAAAUGUAAGUAAACUCUGUGAAUGUGCAUGGCCACCCAAGUGCCAGAUGCUGAGGGCUGGUGCCAACAUGGCAUGUGAGUGACUCAUUAAAUCAGAAGAGAGGAAUCCAUUGGCCUUUCUCUGAUGGCUCUGUCGCUCAUUCAAACUAGCAGCUUCUCUGCCAGAGACUUUCUUCGAUCAGGGAAAGCAGCCAGCUGGGACAGUUCCCGAUUCAUUAUAGGCAUGAAAAUAAAUAAAAGAGGCAAAUUUUUAAAAAUAGCAUCGAGAGUGGGACCACGGGGAGGCAGCGGUGGUAUUAGAGAAAGGAAAACAGUUUCCUGUAAGCUACAGAUUAUGAAAACAUUAAGCAACAAUUACCGUAAUGAGAGUUAUUGAAGCGGCAAGGUAGCAGACAAGCUGUGUGCAUCUGGUUGCUGCAUCUGGCUGCAAGGGAAGAGCAUCAAAAGGGCAGGCAGGAAGGCAUUCAUUUCUUUUCGCCAUUCCCUCCCCGUGGAUGGAGAAAUGGCAUGUCAGUAAUUGUCAUGUACUGGGAAUGAUCUCACAGGCUGCGCGUUGAUGCAUGCGCUGCUAUGGAUAUCAAGUGCUCUGUCAGAAAUUUGGAAGAUGUCAUUUAGGGUAAAUUGAGGGAAUGGCUUUCACUGGGCAAGUCAUGUCCCUCCCUCUGUGUUAGGAGAUGAGAACAAAAUAGAUAUUAUCCACCGCUGAUAGGUUUGAAAUCUUCAUCGUUUAUAUUUGGCAGAAAUAGACUCAGAAAGCAGACAAACUUAGCUGUGCGUUAAACCAACACCAAAAUCUUGUUACAAAUGAACGCAGUCUUAGUUUAUUUGUUUAUUAAUUUAUUUGUCAUUUGUGCCUUUAAAACAUGUAACGACAUGUUUUAAUCAAUUCAAGUCCCGUCUGUGUGAUCUGAUGUGUCAUAAUGUCCUCUCAUGAGACUAGGAUUUCACGUACCGAAGCCAGUACCACAUUUCUGAGGAGUUUCUUCGUCUUUGUCAUCCUCUACAGUAAAUUGCAUGGUGCAUGUGGUGAUCACUACAAACUGACAUUUUGUGUUUUAUUCAUUUUCUGUCGCAUUCUUCCCACUUCCAGGUUUUGUCACUGGCAAUUUAGCGCACAAUAUUGAAUCCUGCUCUCACUGCACCCAGCGGCCCAUUUAAUCAGGGAGUGGGAUUAAGGCUGAGCAGCCCCAGCCCCAGACGAGACGUACAGUAACGUGACUCUCUACUAGGGACUCAAGAUGGAUGAGCUGGGCUACAGCCGGGAUGGAACGCCUCCAUUGGGCCGUUUGGCCUGGUGGAGCCCAUCAAUCAGGGCGGCACCAGAGGUCCAGGCUGAGGCUGUGUAAUGAUGCGAACAGCAUGUGGCCGAGCCAUCCCUGGCUGCUCAGGUGUGAGGGUCUGCCCCGUCCACCGGUCCUCUCAACUCCUUCACCGCUAUCAUCCAUCAUGUACCGGUCGGAUUCAUGGCAUGCAACAGAUUUCAGAAGGUUAGAUUUGAUAAAAAUAACUUAGGAUCAAACUCACGGCAGAUUGUUUGUGGAGUUGAAUGUUAAAAAUGAUGUGAUGAUAACUUAAAAAAAAAAAAUAAAUAGUUUUUUUUUUCAGGGCUUGAUUAGAAGUAAAACAUACCUGCAUAACUGCUGGUACCCUUUAGAGAAAUAAUCCAUGAGCGCCUUGACAAGCAUUUUGUUUAUGAAGACCAGACUGAUCACUUUCCUUAAAAGCGGAAGAGGAAGUCGCCAUCAGCCAUUCUUCUUUAUGCCUUCUACUCAGGGCAUGCCUCAAUCUUUCAAUAAGUUCAUUAAAGGACAUAUUUUACAGCACAUUAUGAGCUUUAUACCUCUCACACAAACAUAUUACGCUCCUGGAGGAAGGUGGCCCUUAUGAGUCCCAUAAAACAGGCCUCGUGAAUAUGAUUGUAAAAGCCGCUGCUCAGUAUGGACUCAGUGUGAGCGGAAGGUCAUUUAGUAGAAAGCAUACACGGCAAAAAUGUAUGCCUGUAAAGAUGUCUUUGGUGGAGUUUCCAAGCUGCUGAAAUACAUCUACUGCAGCCUAAUGGACUUUUUUUUACCCACUGGAAGCAGUAGUAGGGUUGCUGGGUUUGAAUUAAAGUAACCUCAUUCUUUGGUCAAGGUCUGAAGUAGGCAACUCUCCGCCCUUAAUAGCCCUGAAAUUCCAUCAUAAGAGCAAAACUCAAAUUAUUUCUGGUUUUGUUACCGGCAUAAAUUGGAUGUGCAUGUGAACCUACGUAUUAGUGACAAGUGAGAAGUGUCACAUAAAUCCACCUCUUGUCUUGUCUUUGUGUAACUGCUUGAAUCAACAAAGCAUUUUCUAGUUUUCUAAUGUAAUCAGCGUUUUUUUUUUUAAAGGUUGUAUUUAUGAAUGUCUGAAAAUUGCUUCUGCUCCUCACUGAUGAUUACCAGGUUAUGGAGGCAUAGCAAUUUCUGAUUAAAACCUCAAAUUGGAUUUGAAAAUUGGGAUUUGAUGUGUAAGGAGGGGCUUCUUCACAAUGCAUUUUAUAUGGAUUUUUCAAUUCUGUUCUUUCUCUCUGAAUUACAGGAAAUCAUUAACAAGUGUGCUUUUAAAAGGUUUAUUAAUUUGAUAUUGAUUGUUUCAUUCACAUGAAGGGGAUUUCACACUCUUCGAAAAUUGAGUGAGUAAUAUCCCUCCAAAUCCAUGUAAGCCUAUAAACCCCAGCCAACGAAUAUUUCCUGAUAGAGUUGCGGCACCUCCAGUGACUUUUUUUCUCUGUCUCAUCUUGUUAAUCUCAUCCGUAUUUGGGCAUCUAAUCAGUGAGACCUCACUGAGUGAACUUCAUAAUUAAAGAAUGUGUUAUUAUUCCGACUUUAAUUACAUAACUACGUAACUUUGUUUUAAUUAAAAAUACCCUUCCCCCAUCGGGAGCACAGUGUGAUUUACUUCUGUGUGUAAAGCUUUUUCUCAGCUUACACAUGCCAUAAUAUUCAAAAGUUUAGCAGCUGAGAUUCUGAUAUAACCUUGAAAAGAAGGAAACAGCAGUGAUGGUCUUGUCUCUAUACCUAUCACAGCAUGCAAAUUGCAAAAUGGUAUGCUCCAUUACUGCUUCAAGUUGGUUCCAAUCUCCAAGCAGCAUUUCACAUUUCCUGUACUAUGUAAAGGUAUAAAAGAGCUCAUGGCCUCUGUAAUCCCAGGGUUAAUAACAGGCUUUUAUAAAGGGUGCUGAGGGUGAACGUCCUUUUUGCAAAGAGAGGGUCAACGUCCAGAAAUUAUUAAGAUGUGUUGCCAAGACGUAAUGGGGUUCCAGCACAUUACUUACAUCUCUCCAUGUCAUUAAGUUUUGUCAGGCAUAAAAACACUCAUUUUACUAAUAUGGACAAACUAUUCUUCAUUGGCAUGGUAAUGACUGGGGAACUGUGUGCUCUCCAAUCAAGCCAUCACAAUGUCAUGCAUGACCAGAUUCAUUCGCUGCACCGCCAUAGAUGGCACUGUUGCACUGCUUUCCAGGCUGACUGACAGCACUCUGAUGUGCCAGUCAUGAAGCACAGAUUGUGGUGUCACUCCAGAUCUGUGCAUUUGCUGAAAAGCUGGGGUGCUGGAUUAGCAAUUAAACAAUCAAUAUUGCAGAGAGCUACAAAACAAGUAGAGUUCUCUGCUUCUGUAGCACUUUGUGUACAACACAAAAUUCAUCUACUUUUGUUGCAGCCAUGAGUAGCAAACAGAUGUAUGAAGUGAUGUUCUAAGGUAAAAUGAAGCACAAUGUUUUAAGUGUUAAGUUUGGCCAACGCUGAAAAGGAACAUAUUUGAAUUUCAAAUGAGACAGACUGAGGCACUUUGUCUUCAUUUUUGGUGAAGCUUCAGGUGCUUAUUGGCAGUGAAUUAUACAUAGAAAUAUGAGGUGUCAUUCACCCUGACAAGCCUAUUUUCUGCCCUGUCAUCCCAUCUGUGCGCGCUAUAUGCAUGUAUUUAUUAUAGAAUGCAGCAUGUGCUGAUUGUCAAUUCAGUCCCUCUUCCUGAGGUACCGGUUGUUGACUGUAACAAUUAUUCGGAGUUUGAAGUCAGGUUAACGAUGAAAUGACAUUUAAAACAUUUGCAUGCUCUCAUCAGAAUAACAAUAAUAACCAUAUCUCUGAGUUUUGAGCAUUUGUAAGUAAAUACUAAUGUUACUCCUGUGAGUGUUCGGCUGCUUCACUUUACUGUGGAGAUGAGAAUCAGAGCUCAGUUUUUAAAAGAAUAUAAAACACUCCAGCAAAGUCGUGAACAGCCUACACAUGGCAGGCCACACUGGCCUUCACCAGACUGCGGGUCUGCCUGGUGACUAUCCAAUUUAACAAAGUAAUGUUUUAAUGAGCUCAGCUCUGGGGGAUGGAAAUACUAUUCUCAUUUGAGAUCCUGUUUGAAAGAGAAGAUUUAAAACACCUGGUAUUGAAUAAAUGUAGAGUAACACACCAUGGCCCUGCUGACAGAGAAGAGAAUCAUCUUGUUAUCCUCAUCAGUAAGCGGUGAAUCCAAACUUUAUCUCACCGAUAAUGGCAACAUUGGCAUUUCAGUUUGGAAACAAAAUGAGAACUGUACGAAAAUGUCCCGCGGUCUAAAUCAUGCAAUGUUAAAUGUGAGCUUCAGUUCCUUGCAGUUUGGGUCAUGGGUAUUACCUCCUUACCUCAGACAUAAUAAGCAUGUCAAGCAGGCAACUUUGCUCUAGAGCUUUGACUCCUCUCAGAGUACCUCUCGACUCUGAUGUGCACGAUCACACAGGAGUGCGAUGUGUUCAGAGAUCAAGGAUAUAUGCUGUGAGACUGGCCUCAUUAAGGCCAAAAAGUUAUAGUUACCAGAGUUUUUCUCUGCUGCACAGGGUCCAUGAAUCCUUCCCAGAACCAUAUUUUUUACUUUAAAAAGCUGUUUUGACCUAUGUUCAGUUUAAAAAUAUCUAUUUUUUUUCCUGUAUUAACUGUUCCAGAAAAGAAAAAAAACACAAACUUGUAUUAUUUGUAUGUAACAGAGGUGGUCUGGCUAAAAUAGGUCCACUCAGUCUAGUUUAUUAAAAGGACAUUUAGAAAUGCACUACUUAACGCUGUCAUGUAGAAAACAGCAUAAUGUGUAUGACAAUUAUAUUGAAAUUGUCACCUUAAUAGCCUAUUUCAGAGAUAUCAUUAAGAAGUCAUCACUGAACUGAAUUGCCUUCAAGUUCAGCCAGACUGCACAUUGUUUUACUUUCUAAACGCUGUGUAAUAAUUUGUAAAUUUCUAGCUGUGGGUCUGUGAGCAUACACAAUUUUCCCUCUAACAGCAAAACACAGCUGAUUACAAAGUUGAUUUAUGCGUAUAUUAAUGGUUUUAAUGUAAAUGGCAAUCUUGCUCAGUCUUUUUAAAACGUUUGUUUUGUUAAAAAAUACUUUUCCGUCUCUAGUUCUGAUUCUAGAGAAUUAAAGAGAGAAGCCUCCAGUCACUAACUGAAAGACAGGCAGUGUAGACUGUUAUUAAACUGUAUUUUUUAGGAGUCUUUCAUGUUUUGAGGUUAUAAACAGUGCUGAGUAGUUUUUAAGAUAUGGAGUUAUGUUUACAAACAUUUUAAAAAGGUCAUUUUUAUAGCCAACAGGCUACAAUAAAAAUACAGUUAAUUAAGCAUUACCCAUAACCUCACCCCCCUGAAUUUCAAACCUCUUAAAGACUGAACUGUAACUCUUUGUAUUUUUAUUAUAAAGUGUAAUUUUUAAGUGUAAUGACAAAGUCGUUUUUAAAACGUCUCUAACGAUGUGUGAAAUCUUGGAAAUUAUUUUGAUAAUGGGAUGUUACAAAUAACGUACUGUGAACUAUGUCAGUUCAGGCUACCAUAUUUGUUUGAGUUGUCAGAGGAGUCUUCCUGCUUGCGAUAGACUGUUUAUAGAAUGGACGCCGUCUGCCUCCUUGCCGGGUGAAGCCACUCAGAGAACAGCACCCUCUGGUGACGGGCUGCUGUAUAGGUCAUAACUUUAGAAAUUUAUUACACAGAACAUAAAUAUUUCUCCCCCCGCUUGGGAUGUUGGCAUGUAGACAUCUUUUUUCUCUACAGCUCCGUUAUUAGGGGGUUCAUAUUUUCUAUGCUUGACACUUGAUAUAGCCUAUGGGCGUAUGAAGAUUGUGUAGCUUACCCGGGGGACAAGCUGUUUAAGCCGAGCAGGCAAAACCCACAGGAUCAGGAAUGGCUUAGCUCCGCUCCGGCAUGGGUCCGGUGGCCGGAUCAGAUACACAAGGCUUCUAUUUUUGCCGGACGCCAGAGCACGGUGCAUCAAUUCAGUGCAGCGCAGCAGGAGCAGCAGUGGAAGUUGUAUACGGUUAAAGAGUAAAAUAUCCGGUUAAUUUUCAAAAUAAAUUAAAGUCAAUACAUUGAACUGCUCUUAACUUGAUGAUAGGAGAGGCCAGGGUUGUGGGAUGUGGUUGUUUAUAUACACCGAUCGGCGGAUCUCAUUGUAAAAAUCCCGCGAAAACACGCGAGAGCUCGUGCGCUCCCGUCCAGUCUCGCGAGAGUUAUAGUAAUCUCGCGAGCGCUUCGCCUCCGAUGGCGGCGGAUCGUGUGGAUUUAACCUGUAGCGUCAUUACAGCGACUCUCGGCGACUCUCCCGUUGAAGGCGCACAAUGCUACUGCGCAAUGUUUGUGUCAGGAAAUGGAAAGAAAACGCGGAAAUACCGAGAGCUUUUCGGCUUCAAAUAUGUAAACUGGAGGAAGGUGGAACCGAGUUUUCCAGAGUAUAAACAGUCUGUGGUUGAGGGAGUCCUUGACAACUCGAGAUACACCUCUAAAGCAGCGGUAAGUGUCGUUAAACAACAUCCAGUGGUUUUAUCUUUUGCGUUUGUUGUGGAUUUUCCUUACAUGAAGCAGAAACGUUAGCUGCGCUGUUUGUUAUGAUUUCACCCAGGGACAAGACUGGUCUGGUUAAAUGGCGCUUUACUGGGGCUUUCCAAACUACAAAUUAAGAAAUUAAGAAAAAGAAACUAACAUGCAGUUGCCCGCCCCUUGAAAGGACAAAUUAAUUUAGACUUUAAUUAAUCUGUGAGUUUUCCGCUCCUUAUUACAGGUUUCACUUCUGUUUGUGGAAGCUUAGUCAUGCUGCCAGAGGAUGUGCAACACAUGAGUUUACUGAAUAUUAAUCCUGUUUUGAGGUGAGUUUCUGUCAUGGGGAUGUUUGUCAUUCCCCCCUGCUGGGCUUAAUAAGCUGGUGCCUUUCCCAAACCUCCUUUUCCUCAUCAUACACUUUCUUAUACCUGUCAUAGAUAAUAAUUGGCUUAUCAGUGGGGAAAUAACAAGAGCCGUGGAUAAUCUACAUGUUCUCCCUGAAGUUGAAGUGCUGUAAUUUUAUUAUUUUUUCUUUUAUGUGG